GAUCUUGCGACAAUGGGCGAAAGCCUGACGCAGCAACGCCGCGUGCGGGAGGACGGCCUUCGGGUUGUAAACCGCGUCUCGGGGGGAUGAGGAAGGACGGUGCCCCCGGAAGAAGUCUCGGCUAACUACGUGCCAGCAGCCGCGGUACAACGUAGGAGCCGAGCGUUGUCCGGAUUGACUGGGUGUAACAGGCGUGUAGGCGGUCCUGCAAGUGGCGGGUGAAGGCGGCCGGCUCAACCGGGCGAGGACGUCGGCGAACUGCAGGGCUAGAGGCAGGUAGAGGCGUGUGGAAUUCCGGGUGUAGUGGUGAAAUGCGUAGAGAUCCGGAGGAACACCAGUGGCGCAGGCGACACGCUGGGCCUGGCCUGACGCUGAGAGGCGAAAGCAUGGGGAGCGAACGGG
RNAcentral lists this ribosomal RNA (402 nucleotides) under uncultured bacterium. RNAcentral describes it as "partial 16S ribosomal RNA". It matches the Rfam family "Bacterial small subunit ribosomal RNA", at positions 359 to 776 of the family's 1533-position model. The record is from RNAcentral.